RNAcentral lists this ribosomal RNA (391 nucleotides) under uncultured bacterium. RNAcentral's name for it is "bacterial SSU rRNA". It matches the Rfam family "Bacterial small subunit ribosomal RNA", at positions 30 to 422 of the family's 1533-position model. The record is from RNAcentral.
AUUGAACGCUGGCGGCAUGCCUUACACAUGCAAGUCGAACGGCAGCGGACCUUCGGGUGCCGGCGAGUGGCGAACGGGUGAGUAAUGCAUCGGAACGUGCCAUUGAGUGGGGGGAUAACGUAGCGAAAGUUGCGCUAAUACCGCAUAUUCUGUGAGCAGGAAAGCAGGGGACCGCAAGGCCUUGCGCUCUUUGAGCGGCCGAUGUCAGAUUAGCUAGUUGGUGAGGUAACGGCUUACCAAGGCGACGAUCUGUAGCGGGUCUGAGAGGAUGAUCCGCCACACUGGAACUGAGACACGGUCCAGACUCCUACGGGAGGCAGCAGUGGGGAAUUUUGGACAAUGGGGGCAACCCUGAUCCAGCCAUGCCGCGUGAGUGAAGAAGGCCUUCGGG